UACGGGAGGCAGCAGUGGGGAAUAUUGGACAAUGGGGGCAAGCCUGAUCCAGCCAUGCCGCGUGAGUGAUGAAGGCCUUAGGGUUGUAAAGCUCUUUUGGCGGGGACGAUAAUGACGGUACCCGCAGAAUAAGCCCCGGCUAACUUC
Molecule: ribosomal RNA, 147 nt
Filed under: uncultured bacterium
Lineage: Bacteria
Description: partial 16S ribosomal RNA
Rfam family: Bacterial small subunit ribosomal RNA
Source: RNAcentral